CAGCAGCCGCCGCGGGAAUACGAAGGGGGCUAGCGUUACUCGGAAUUACUGGGCGUAAAGGGCGCGUAGGCGGCGCUCCAAGUUAGGCGUGAAAGUCCUGGGCUCAACCUGGGAACUGCGCUUAAGACUGGAGUGCUUGAGGAUGGAAGAGGGUUGUGGAAUUCCCAGUGUAGAGGUGAAAUUCGUAGAUAUUGGGAAGAACACCGGUGGCGAAGGCGGCAACCUGGUCCAUUACUGACGCUGAGGCGCGAAAGCGUGGGGAGCAAACAGGAUUAGAUACCCCCGUAGUCCCUGUCUCUUAUAC
RNAcentral lists this ribosomal RNA (304 nucleotides) under uncultured bacterium. RNAcentral's name for it is "partial 16S ribosomal RNA". It matches the Rfam family "Bacterial small subunit ribosomal RNA", at positions 506 to 807 of the family's 1533-position model. The record is from RNAcentral.